GAUGAACGCUGGCGGCGUGCCUAAUACAUGCAAGUCGAGCGAACGGACGAGAAGCUUGCUUCUCUGAUGUUAGCGGCGGACGGGUGAGUAACACGUGGAUAACCUACCUAUAAGACUGGGAUAACUUCGGGAAACCGGAGCUAAUACCGGAUAAUAUUUUGAACCGCAUGGUUCAAAAGUGAAAGACGGUCUUGCUGUCACUUAUAGAUGGAUCCGCGCUGCAUUAGCUAGUUGGUAAGGUAACGGCUUACCAAGGCAACGAUGCAUAGCCGACCUGAGAGGGUGAUCGGCCACACGGGAAGUGAGACACGGUCCAGACUGCUACGGGAGGCAGCAGUAGGGAAUCUUCCGCAAUGGGCGAAAGCCUGACGGAGCAACGCCGCGUGAGUGAUGAAGGUCUUCGGAUCGUAACUCUGUUAUUAGGGAAGAACAUAUGUGUAAGUAACUGUGCACAUCUUGACGGUACCUAAUCAGAAAGCCACGGCUAACUACGUG
This 495-nucleotide ribosomal RNA is filed under the name uncultured bacterium. RNAcentral's name for it is "partial 16S ribosomal RNA". It matches the Rfam family "Bacterial small subunit ribosomal RNA", at positions 28 to 507 of the family's 1533-position model. The record is from RNAcentral.